Molecule: ribosomal RNA, 300 nt
Filed under: uncultured bacterium
Lineage: Bacteria
Description: bacterial SSU rRNA
Rfam family: Bacterial small subunit ribosomal RNA
Source: RNAcentral
GCGUGCGGGAAGAAGGCCUUCGGGUUGUAAACCGCUUUUGUCAGGGAAGAAAUGCCAUGCGCGAAUAACGUGUGGUGAUGACGGUACCUGAAGAAUAAGCACCGGCUAACUACGUGCCAGCAGCCGCGGUAAUACGUAGGGUGCAAGCGUUAAUCGGAAUUACUGGGCGUAAAGCGUGCGCAGGCGGUUGUGCAAGACAGAUGUGAAAUCCCCGGGCUUAACCUGGGAACUGCAUUUGUGACUGUACGGCUGGAGUGCGGCAGAGGGGGAUGGAAUUCCGCGUGUAGCAGUGAAAUGCGU